GGAGAUGUAGCUCAGUGGUUGAGCACUUGCCUGGCAUACACAAUGUCCUGAGUUCAAUUCCCAGCACCACAA
RNAcentral lists this transfer RNA (72 nucleotides) under Ictidomys tridecemlineatus (thirteen-lined ground squirrel). RNAcentral describes it as "Spermophilus tridecemlineatus (thirteen-lined ground squirrel) tRNA". It matches the Rfam family "tRNA". From Rfam's summary of the family: Transfer RNA (tRNA) molecules are approximately 80 nucleotides in length. Their secondary structure includes four short double-helical elements and three loops (D, anti-codon, and T loops). The record is from Rfam by way of RNAcentral. Lineage: Eukaryota; Metazoa; Chordata; Mammalia; Rodentia; Sciuridae.